RNAcentral lists this long non-coding RNA (1108 nucleotides) under Solanum tuberosum (potato). RNAcentral describes it as "long non-coding RNA (STUB_LNC007759)". Lineage: Eukaryota; Viridiplantae; Streptophyta; Magnoliopsida; Solanales; Solanaceae. The record is from RNAcentral.
UUCUGGCAACUUUGAAGGAAUGGAAAUUACCAAAUAAGAAAGUUUUGAAUAUAUUUGAGCAGAGUGAGGCAGAGGUAGUUAUACCAGUAUGAAGAUGUUGGACAGUUGGCCCCCGAUUGGAGCGUACUAAUACUGCUGGAUCCAACUAGAGAGACGCUAAUUAACAUCUAUUCACGGAGUGCUUAAUUGCUUAUAGUCUAUUGAUAUUGUCCCCAUGAUUUUCCCUGCAUCUCUACCUUCAAGUAGGUAGUGGUUCAGGUUCUUUAUGAAUGUCAGUAUUUUAUUGGCAGGAAUUUGCAGCUAUAUAGUAUCUUGACAGUCUAUACAUUUUUCUCUAUGCUAAAAUUUCAUUUUGUGUUGCAUUAGCAGAAGACAUUGUCUAGAUUGUUUUCACCUGUCAUGGAUACUCGAACAAUGCAAUGGCAAUCUGAGAACUCAACUCAACCCGUUCUUGUAUGGAUGCCUCUUUUUUUCUCCUCACUCAGGACUCAGGAGAGCAGAAGACUGUUGACAAUGAUGAGAAAAUCAGAAUAAAGAGGACAACAGUAUGUACGUCUAUUUUCUUCUUUGGUAUCAACUCUACUUGGCUUCUGGUAAUCGUGUUUGGUACAUUCCUGGCUUUGUUAUAGAUUCAAUAAUAUCGUGGAGAUCCCAGCUUCUUCAAGUCGUCAAGUCAACUAUUCAAAUCAUUGAUCUAUUUUUUCACUUAAGAUAUAUCACGUCUUCAAGUACAUGGAGUUUGCAUGAAUUUAAUUUGUGAUCAAUUGCCUCAAGACUUUAGGGACUGGAAAUACAAUAAAGAGAAGCUUUACUAACUUACUGGCCUUCUAGCGAUAAGUACAAGACCAUUUUAUACGGUAUUCAACACUCUUUUGAGAUAGUUGAUGCUGCAUACAUUUCAUAGAACUUUGAUCUGCAUGGGAAUCACAAAGCAAAAUUUCUGAAUCAUGACGAGGAAUUUGAAGUGAACGAGGCUAAUAGCUAACUUAAUAAGAAGAUGAUGCCAUGCUGACAGUUAACCAGGGAUUGGAGCCUGCAAAAACUGUUUGAUCCAACUAGGUGAAGCACUACAUAGUGACUUCCAUAGGAUGCUUUUCAGUCUAUUGAG